CAGAGAAGUAAGGGGCAGGCAGCAAGCAGGCAGGCCUUGAAUCAAAAUUGAAAUCUCAGCCCUGACAAUAACAUUUUGAAGAGGAGCGCAAGAGGCCUGCCCAAUGGCAGGAGACGAGACUGUAGCUGCGGAGGGGACUGCGACUGCGACUGUGGAGACCUCUACAGGGGCUGCUGUUUGCAUAUCAAUUUUAGGGGGAAAAAUAAGCAGCAACUGGGCGCUGACUGGCAUUUGUGUGUCAACAACUGUUUGGUAUGCGUGGCAUGCGGCACGAUGAGGUUGCCAGGCCCACAUACAAAUGAGUCCUUGUGGGUCACGUAGCCAUUCAAUAGGUCAACGGGUCAUAACAACAGAUUCGCCCAGCGAUAUUUGUUAUCGAUGUUCGUUGCCUGUAAUUAAUAAACAAUGACCGGC
This 414-nucleotide long non-coding RNA is filed under the name Drosophila guanche. The record is from RNAcentral. Lineage: Eukaryota; Metazoa; Arthropoda; Insecta; Diptera; Drosophilidae.